UGUGUUUGAUCCUGGCUCAGGAUGAACGCUAGCGGCAGGCUUAACACAUGCAAGUCGAGGGGUAACAGGAGAGCUUGCUCUCGCUGACGACCGGCCCCCGGGUGAGUAACGCGUAUGCAACCUACCCAUACUGGGGGGAUAGCUUCCGGAAACGGAAAUUAAUACCCCAUAGUAUUAUAAUAUACCAUGGUAUAAUAAUUAAAGUUCCGACGGUUAUGGAUGGGCAUGCGUGCCAUUAGUUUGUUGGUGAGGUAACGGCUCACCAAGGCUAUGAUGGCUAGGGGGUCUUAAAGGAUGGUCCCCCACACUGGUACUGAGACACGGACCAGACUCCUACGGGAGGCAGCAGUGAGGAAUAUUGGUCAAUGGGCGCAAGCCGGAACCAGCCAUGCCGCGUGCAGGAAGACGGCCCUAUGGGUUGUAAACUGCUUUUAUAUAGGAAGAAAAUGUUCUACGAGUAGAGCACUGACGGUACUAUAAGAAUAAGCAUCGGCUAACUCCGUGCCAGCAGCCGCGGUAAUACGGAGGAUGCAAGCGUUAUCCGGAUUUAUUAGGUUUAAAGGGUGUGUAGGCGGAAGAAUAAGUCAGUGGUGAAAUCCUACAGCUUAACUGUAGAACUGCCAUUGAAACUGGUUUUCUUGAGUAUAGUUGAGGUUGGCGGAAUGUGUUGUGUAGCGGUGAAAUGCUUAGAGAUGACACAGAACACCGAUUGCGAAGGCAGCUGACUAAACUAUAACUGACGCUGAUGCACGAAAGCGUGGGUAUCGAACAGGAUUAGAUACCCUGGUAGUCCACGCCGUAAACGAUGAUUACUCGUUGUUCGCGAUACAUUGCGAGUGACUGAGCGAAAGCAUUAAGUAAUCCACCUGGGGAGUACGAUCGCAAGAUUGAAACUCAAAGGAAUUGACGGGGGCCCGCACAAGCGGAGGAACAUGUGGUUUAAUUCGAUGAUACGCGAGGAACCUUACCUGGGCUUAAAUGUAGAUUGACAGGACUGGAAACGGUUUUUUCUUCGGACAAUUUACAAGGUGCUGCAUGGUUGUCGUCAGCUCGUGCCGUGAGGUGUCGGGUUAAGUCCCAUAACGAGCGCAACCCCUAUCGUUAGUUGCUAGCAGGUAAUGCUGAGGACUCUAGCGAGACUGCCGGUGUAAACCGUGAGGAAGGUGGGGAUGACGUCAAAUCAGCACGGCCCUUAUGGGCAGGGCUACACACGUGCUACAAUGGCGAGUACAGAGGGCAGCUACACAGCGAUGUGAUGCCAAUCCCCAAAGUGCGUCUCAGUUCGUAUCGAAGUCUGCAACCCGACUUCGUGAAGCUGGAAUCGCUAGUAAUCGCGCAUCAGCCAUGGCGCGGUGAAUACGUUCCCGGGCCUUGUACACACCGCCCGUCAAGCCAUGGAAGUUGGGGGUACCUGAAGUCCGUAACCGUAAGGAGCGGCCUAGGGUAAAACUAGUGACUGGGGCUAAGUCGUAACAG
Molecule: ribosomal RNA, 1476 nt
Filed under: uncultured prokaryote
Description: partial 16S ribosomal RNA
Rfam family: Bacterial small subunit ribosomal RNA
Source: RNAcentral